AUGAUUAGGGACUUCUGGUGGGGGGACGAAGAAGGCCAUAGAAGGGUACACUGGAUGGCUUGGGAGCGCAUGAUUAAACCUAAACGGGCUGGUGGUAUAGGCGUCAGAGACAUGCAUCUAUUCAACCAAGCACUCCUAGCUAAACAAGGCUGGAGGCUAAUCCAAUUCCCGGAUAAUUUAUGCGCGAGAGUCCUGAAAUCAAAGAAAUUUCUGAAUGGUGACCUUCUAGACACCGUCUUUGCCUCGGAUACCUCCCCGGUGUGGAAGGCAAUAGAAUUUGGCCUAGAACUGCUGAAGAAGGGUUUAAUCUGGCGAGUGGGCGAUGGGAAAAAUAUUCAGAUUCAACGAGAUCAAUGGAUUCCU
RNAcentral lists this ribosomal RNA (363 nucleotides) under Triticum aestivum (bread wheat). Its description in RNAcentral is "partial small subunit ribosomal RNA". Lineage: Eukaryota; Viridiplantae; Streptophyta; Magnoliopsida; Poales; Poaceae. The record is from RNAcentral.